UAUCGCCCUCCUACGGGAGGCAGCAGCAUACGGAGCAGUCCUACGGGAGGCAGCAGUGGGGAAUAUUGCGCAAUGGGCGGAAGCCUGACGCAGCGACGCCGCGUGGGGGAUGACGGCCUUCGGGUUGUAAACCUCUUUCGACCUUGACGAAGCCUUUCGGGGUGACGGUAGGGGUAGAAGAAGCACCGGCCAACUACGUGCCAGCAGCCGCGGUAAUACGUAGGGUGCGAGCGUUGUCCGGAAUUAUUGGGCGUAAAGAGCUCGUAGGCGGUCUGUCGCGUCGGUCGUGAAAACUUGGGGCUUAACCCUGAGCUUGCGGUCGAUACGGGCAUGACUGGAGUUCGGCAGGGGAGACUGGAAUUCCUGGUGUAGCGGUGAAAUGCGCAGAUAUCAGGAGGAACACCGGUGGCGAAGGCGGGUCUCUGGGCCGAUACUGACGCUGAGGAGCGAAAGCGUGGGGAGCGAACAGGAUUAGAUACCCUGGUAGUCCACGCCGUAAACGGUGGGCGCUAGGUGUGGGGGCCAUUCCACGGUCUCUGUGCCG
RNAcentral lists this ribosomal RNA (544 nucleotides) under uncultured Pseudonocardia sp. RNAcentral's name for it is "bacterial SSU rRNA". It matches the Rfam family "Bacterial small subunit ribosomal RNA", at positions 282 to 848 of the family's 1533-position model. Lineage: Bacteria; Bacillati; Actinomycetota; Actinomycetes; Pseudonocardiales; Pseudonocardiaceae. The record is from RNAcentral.